Molecule: non-coding RNA, 592 nt
Organism: Camelina sativa (false flax)
Lineage: Eukaryota; Viridiplantae; Streptophyta; Magnoliopsida; Brassicales; Brassicaceae
Source: RefSeq, a predicted model, not a curated record
GAUGUGUAUAGCUUCGGGAUAUGUCUAUGGGAGAUUUACUGCUGCGACAUGCCUUAUCCUGACCUCAGCUUCUCCGAAGUCACCUCCGCCGUCGUCCGCCAGAAUCUGAGACCGGAGAUACCUAGAUGUUGCCCAAGCUCGUUGGCAAACGUGAUGAAGAGGUGUUGGGAUGCAAAUCCUGAAAAGCGGCCAGAGAUGGACGAAGUGGUGGCGAUGUUGGAGGCUAUUGAUACUACUAAAGGCGGAGGAAUGAUACCUCCUGACCAACAACAAGGCUGUUUCUGUUUCCGCAGACACCGAGGCCCAUGAAGUAUAACGUUUCCAUUAUUAUUAGUAUCAUCAUCAACUCUUACUAUUUUGGAAGUAGAGAGAUUAUAUUUAUAAAAUUUGAUUGUGGGGGGUUAUUAAAAAUGUUUUAUUUAGUUGGUGUUUGAUUCAUAGGAUGAAUGUCGCGUAUCUAUUUCAAACGAUCAUCCUAUACACACAAAACCUAUUUCUUGCUCUUUGCUUGUUUUAUAGUUUGUCAAUAUGUAUAUUGGUUUACAAUGUAUUAAACCUGACCAUAAAUUAUAAAGCAUUAAUUCCACCAAAA